CUGGGAGCAGCUGAGUGACAGAGUGUCAGUGCUGGAUGUGAGGAUGAGGUCCACUUUGAUCUGUGUGCUGGGAUUAUUCUUGAUGAAUAAACUCUGCUACGGACAAGAUGCAGCAGGUAGACGCAGGAUUACACUGACAGCAGACAGAAAGACCAUACGAGGACAGCAGAGUGUGACUCUGACCUGCUAUGUGGAGGACUCUGCUGG
Long non-coding RNA from Scomber scombrus (Atlantic mackerel), 207 nucleotides. RefSeq lists it as uncharacterized. The record is from RefSeq and is a predicted model, not a curated record. Lineage: Eukaryota; Metazoa; Chordata; Actinopteri; Scombriformes; Scombridae. The transcript is spliced from 3 exons.